GAUGAACGCUGGCGGCGUGCCUAAUACAUGCAAGUCGAGCGAACAGACGAUGAGCUUGCUCCUCUGACGUUAGCGGCGGACGGGUGAGUAACACGUGGAUAACCUACCUAUAAUACUGGGAUAACUUCGGGAAACCGGAGCUAAUACCGGAUAAUAUAUUGAACCGCAUGGUUCAAUAGUGAAAGACGGUUUUGCUGUCUCUUAUAGAUGGAUCCGCGCCGCAUUAGUUAGUUGGUAAGGUAACGGCUUACCAAGGCAACGAUGCGUAGCCGACCUGAGAGGGUGAUCGGCCACACUGGAACUGAGACACGGUCCAGACUCCUACGGGAGGCAGCAGUAGGGAAUCUUGGGCAAUGGGCGAAAGCCUGACGGAGCAACGCCGCGUGAGUGAUGAAGGUCUUCGGAUCGUAAAACUCUGUUAUUAGGGAAGAACAAAUGUGUAAGUAACUAUGCACGUAUUGACGGUACCUAAUCAGAAAGCCACGGCUAACUACGUG
RNAcentral lists this ribosomal RNA (497 nucleotides) under uncultured bacterium. Its description in RNAcentral is "partial 16S ribosomal RNA". It matches the Rfam family "Bacterial small subunit ribosomal RNA", at positions 28 to 507 of the family's 1533-position model. The record is from RNAcentral.